GAUGAACGCUGGCGGCGUGCCUAAUACAUGCAAGUCGAGCGAACAGACGAGGAGCUUGCUCCUCUGACGUUAGCGGCGGACGGGUGAGUCACACGUGGAUAACCUACCUAUAAGACUGGGAUAACUUCGGGAAACCGGAGCUAAUACCGGAUAAUAUAUUGAACCGCAUGGUUCAAUAGUGAAAGACGGUUUUGCUGUCACUUAUAGAUGGAUCCGCGCCGCAUUAGCUAGUUGGUAAGGUAACGGCUUACCAAGGCAACGAUGCGUAGCCGACCUGAGAGGGUGAUCGGCCACACUGGAACUGAGACACGGUCCAGACUCCUACGGGAGGCAGCAGUAGGGAAUCUGCCGCAAAGGGCGAAAGCAUGACGGAGCAACGCCGCGUGAGUGAUGAAGGUCUUCGGAUCGUAAAACUCUGUUAUUAGGGAAGAACAAAUGUGUAAGUAACUAUGCACGUCUUGACGGUACCUAAUCAGAAAGCCACGGCUAACUACGUG
Molecule: ribosomal RNA, 497 nt
Filed under: uncultured bacterium
Lineage: Bacteria
Description: partial 16S ribosomal RNA
Rfam family: Bacterial small subunit ribosomal RNA
Source: RNAcentral